RNAcentral lists this ribosomal RNA (433 nucleotides) under uncultured bacterium. RNAcentral describes it as "partial 16S ribosomal RNA". It matches the Rfam family "Bacterial small subunit ribosomal RNA", at positions 29 to 507 of the family's 1533-position model. The record is from RNAcentral.
AACGAACGCUGGCGGCAUGCCUAACACAUGCAAGUCGAACGAGACCUUCGGGUCUAGUGGCGCACGGGUGCGUAACGCGUGGGAACCUGCCCUUAGGUUCGGAAUAACUCCCCGAAAGGGGUGCUAAUACCGGAUAAUGUCUUCGGACCAAAGAUUUAUCGCCUUUGGAUGGGCCCGCGUUGGAUUAGCUAGUUGGUAGGGUAAAAGCAUACCAAGGCGACGAUCCAUAGCUGGUCUGAGAGGAUGAUCAGCCACACUGGGACUGAGACACGGCCCAGACUCCUACGGGAGGCAGCAGUGGGGAAUAUUGGACAAUGGGCGAAAGCCUGAUCCAGCAAUGCCGCGUGAGUGAUGAAGGCCUUAGGGUUGUAAAGCUCUUUUACCCGGGAUGAUAAUGACAGUACCGGGAGAAUAAGCGCCGGCUAACUCCGUG